RNAcentral lists this ribosomal RNA (224 nucleotides) under uncultured bacterium. RNAcentral describes it as "partial 16S ribosomal RNA". It matches the Rfam family "Bacterial small subunit ribosomal RNA", at positions 1268 to 1500 of the family's 1533-position model. The record is from RNAcentral.
CGAAUCUCGAAAGCCUGUCUCAGUUCGGAUUGGAGGCUGAAACCCGCCUCCAUGAAGUUGGAUUCGCUAGUAAUCGCGCAUCAGCCAUGGCGCGGUGAAUACGUUCCCGGGCCUUGUACACACCGCCCGUCAAGCCAUGGGAGCCGGGGGUGCCUGAAGUUCGUGACCGCAAGGAGCGACCUAGGGCAAAACUGGUGACUGGGGCUAAGUCGUAACAAGGUAUC